UGACGUCGGCAAGGGCGCAGUUGCCCUGCU
RNAcentral lists this small RNA (30 nucleotides) under Bombyx mori (domestic silkworm). Its description in RNAcentral is "ovarian small RNA-31814". Lineage: Eukaryota; Metazoa; Arthropoda; Insecta; Lepidoptera; Bombycidae. The record is from RNAcentral.